GCCGGCGUGGUGGAAUUGGCAGACGCGCGGGACUCAAAAUCCCGUGGUAGCGAUACCGUGUGGGUUCGACCCCCACCGCCGGCACCA
RNAcentral lists this transfer RNA (87 nucleotides) under Clostridia bacterium. RNAcentral describes it as "tRNA-Leu". It matches the Rfam family "tRNA". Rfam says of the family: Transfer RNA (tRNA) molecules are approximately 80 nucleotides in length. Their secondary structure includes four short double-helical elements and three loops (D, anti-codon, and T loops). Lineage: Bacteria; Bacillati; Bacillota; Clostridia. The record is from RNAcentral.